Molecule: RNA transcript, 2227 nt
Organism: Coffea eugenioides
Lineage: Eukaryota; Viridiplantae; Streptophyta; Magnoliopsida; Gentianales; Rubiaceae
Gene name: F-box/LRR-repeat protein 4-like
Exons: 2
Source: RefSeq, a predicted model, not a curated record
UUCAAUUAUUUUUGCAAAAUCUUAGAACUCACAUCAGCCGAAAUUGUGAAAUGGAUAGGCUUGGGGAAGAUGAAUUAGCCUCAAUUUUGAAAUGGAUUCAAGACCCUCGUGACAGAAAUUCAUUUUCUCUGGUUUGCAAGCGUUGGUGCAAUGUUGAAGGCUUGAAUAAAUUUUCUCUCCGCGUUUUUGAGCCUAAUUACCUCCUAAGUUUUCUACCAAGAUUCCCAAAUUUGCUUAUGUUUGAAUCAUCGGAGCCAAUCUCAGAUGCCCAGAUGGAGUUUCUUGCAAGAACAUGCCCCAGCAUUCAGAAACUCAACCUCUACUACCACGAGGCAUUUCACACCUGGGCAUCAGCUAGACAUUCCGACUUUGGCCAUGUUGGUUUAUGUGCUCUGGCAAAAGGGUGUUGCAAUUUGAGGUCAGUGGUGUUGAGGCGGAGAAGAGGAGUCAGCAAUGCUGGAGUUUCUUCGCUUGUUAAGUUUUCGCGAAAUUUAGUGAAUUUGGACGUGAGAUGGUGUAAAGUGAUUAGUGAUGAAGCACUUGAGGCAAUUGGGACCAUGAGUGCUUUGACAAGCUUGAAUUUGCAAGGUUGUUGUUUAAUUUCUGAUGAGGGGCUGGCUUCUUUGGCAAAAGGGUCUCUGUGCAAGUCCCUUGAGUUCUUAAAUCUUGCAGAAUGUGAUCGAAUUUCGGAUGAUGGGGUGAUGAAAUUGGUGGCAAUGAAGUCCUUGGAGGUAUUGAAAUUGGCAGAAUGUGGUCCAAAAGUGACUGAUGUUGGUGGGAGGGCUGUGGCUGCAAUUGAAAGUCUCAAGAGAUUGAAUUUAUCGUGGCUGAUAAAUGUAUCUGAUGACACAGUUUUUGCUCUGGCUCAAAAUAGCAAAAAUUUGGCGACACUUCAUUUAGAGGGCUGUGAAUUGGUUACAGGAGAUGGUAUCCGUGCAUUUACUGGCCACAAGUCUUUACGUAAGCUAGAAUUGUAUGGUAUUUAUAAAUUUAACGUAAAUGAUGUCGAAGAGCUGGUGCUUGGAUGCCAAUCUUUGGAGUUUAUUGGAAUGGAUCAAAGAUUGAGAAGUUGGAUACCUGUUACAGAGCAGGGGAAUAUAUUUAGGCCAGAUUGUCGGAUUUCUUGGAGGUUAUAGACCAAUAAAAGACUUACAUUUGUUAGUAGAAGGAAUUGUUCUGCAGGUAACUGUGUCCUUUUCUUUUACUUCCCGUUCCUGUAUGCCAUUUUUAUAAUGCAAUUUGGUUUCAAUGCGGGUGACAUCUCUUAUACUGUGAUUUUUGCUCCUCAUUGUAUUCUAGACAAACAUGAUGAUGAUAAGUGCAAAGGCAAAGACAAGACAGAAAUUCAAGCUUCUAUUCUAGGUGAAGGGAUUUCACAUUAGGACGUAUCCCUACUAGAAGGCCAAUUUGGUGAAGUACCUAUACGGAAUUACUUUGGUUUCCUGCAAAAGAAUUGGAUAUCUUGUAGCAUGUGGUGCCAUUAUAAUAUCCUUUACAAGAUGCUAAUGUAAUGCUCAUUCAUAAAAGUUAAGGUCAAGGAUAGCCUGUGGUUCGUGAACCAUUAUGAAGUAUAACAUAACAUCCCUGUAGUUUUAGAAUGCUCACCUUUCGCAUGUGGUCUGAAACGUGAGCCAACUAGAAGUUGGAGUUCGUACUUUCUCCAGACAGCUAUGUUCGUGUCUGACUGGUGAUUUUUCUUUUUUAUUGUUUUAUAUUUUUUUUCUUUUUGUUUAUGUAGAAAUGUCAAAUGGAUUUGAGUUAAUGGUGCUCAAGUUUGUCAAGAUUGUCUUCAGCAGGCACAAUGUAUCAUCUUUAGAGGGCUAGGAAUGGAAGUGUUCAGUUGUUCAAUUACACUUGAUAUUGCUAGCAGUACAAGCCUUGAUGGUCUUCUCAAUGUGUUCCAAUACGUGCUCUUGAUGUUGUCAGCACAAGUUUUAAGUAUUGGCAUAUGAAUUCUUGCCUUUCAGGCUUUUAUAGAGGAACUCUGUCUACAUUUACUAGGAUUUUAGAUUUGUGGUUAAAGAUGUGCAUUUAGCAGCCUUCAUAUGCAGGAAUUGCCAUAUAGAAGUAUUUGAAUUUGAUAGUUAUAUACAUCUAGAAAACAAGAAUGCUUGCAUUACAACUGAACACAAGGGGAGUUACAAACUUACAAUUGUCACUCCAUAUGUGCUGCAUAUAUUUCUGUUCCUUUUCCAGGGUCUGAACUAGAAAGUGCCCUUCUCUUGAA